UAACGCGUAGGAAUCUAUCCAUGGGUGGGGGAUAACUCUGGGAAACUGGAGCUAAUACCGCAUGAUACCUGAGGGUCAAAGGCGCAAGUCGCCUGUGGAGGAGCCUGCGUUUGAUUAGCUUGUUGGUGGGGUAAUGGCCUACCAAGGCGAUGAUCAAUAGCUGGUCUGAGAGGAUGAUCAGCCACACUGGGACUGAGACACGGCCCAGACUCCUACGGGAGGCAGCAGUGGGGAAUAUUGGACAAUGGGGGCAACCCUGAUCCAGCAAUGCCGCGUGUGUGAAGAAGGUUUUCGGAUUGUAAAGCACUUUCGACGGGGACGAUGAUGACGGUACCCGUAGAAGAAGCCCCGGCUAACUUCGUGCCAGCAGCCGCGGUAAUACGAAGGGGGCUAGCGUUGCUCGGAAUGACUGGGCGUAAAGGGCGUGUAGGCGGUUUGUACAGUCAGAUGUGAAAUCCCCGGGCUUAACCUGGGAGCUGCAUUUGAUACGUGCAGACUAGAGUGUGAGAGAGGGUUGUGGAAUUCCCAGUGUAGAGGUGAAAUUCGUAGAUAUUGGGAAGAACACCGGUGGCGAACGCGGCAACCUGGCUCAUAACUGAC
This 600-nucleotide ribosomal RNA is filed under the name Acetobacter orientalis. RNAcentral's name for it is "bacterial SSU rRNA". It matches the Rfam family "Bacterial small subunit ribosomal RNA", at positions 111 to 744 of the family's 1533-position model. Lineage: Bacteria; Pseudomonadati; Pseudomonadota; Alphaproteobacteria; Acetobacterales; Acetobacteraceae. The record is from RNAcentral.